RNAcentral lists this ribosomal RNA (1875 nucleotides) under human gut metagenome. RNAcentral's name for it is "bacterial LSU rRNA". It matches the Rfam family "Bacterial large subunit ribosomal RNA", at positions 1 to 2008 of the family's 2925-position model. The record is from RNAcentral.
GAAAUAGAGAGAAGGCAGACGGUGGAUGCCUAGGCUCUCGGGAGCGAAGAAGGACGUGAUAAGCUGCGAUAAGCUGCGGGGAUUGGCACAUACGACGCGAUCCGCAGAUUUCCGAAUGGGGCAACCCGCCGGAGAGGAGCUCCGGCACUUUCUUAAAGAAAGGGCGAACGUGGGGAACUGAAACAUCUUAGUACCCAUAGGAAGAGAAAACAACAGUGAUUCCCUAAGUAGUGGCGAGCGAACGGGGAACAGCCCAAACCUUGUUUGUUUAGGCAAACAAGGGGUAAUAGGAUCUUCACUAACGUGUGUAUAAAUAUAGUAGAAGGGUUUGGAAAGUCCCGCCAAAGAGCGUGAUAGCCGCGUAGACGAAAUAUUAGUACACAUAAAGAAGACACCUGAGUAACUCGGGACACGAGAAAUCUUGAGUGAAUUAGCGGGGACCAUCCCGUAAGGCUAAAUAUGACUGAGAGACCGAUAGUGAACAAGUACCGUGAGGGAAAGGUGAAAAGCACCUCGCAUAGAGGAGUGAAAUAGUACCUGAACCCGUCUGCCCACAAGCGGUAGGAGCCCCUUCGUGGGGUGACUGCGUGCCUUUUGCAUAAUGAACCUACGAGUUGUCGAUGCCGGCAAGGUUAACUGAAGGAAUCAGGGAGCCGCAGCGAAAGCGAGUCUGAAUAGGGCGAAUAUAGUCGGUAUAGGCAGACGCGAAACCAAGUGAUCUACCCUUGGCCAGGUUGAAGGUUAGGUAACACUAACUGGAGGACCGCAUCGAUAAGCGUUGAAAAGCUUACGAAUGAGCUGAGGGUAGGGGUGAAAGGCUAAUCAAACUUGGAGAUAGCUCGUACUCCCCGAAAUGCAUUUAGGUGCAGCCUGUACUGUUUCUUGCAAGAGGUAGAGCGACUGAUUGGAUGCGAGGCUUUCACCGGCUAUCAAGUCCGGACAAGACAAACGAAGUCAAGAUGCGAAGACAGCUAGGAUGUUGGCUUGGAAGCAGCCAUUCAUUUAAAGAGUGCGUAACAGCUCACUAGUCGAGGAUUUUGGCAUGGAUAAUAAGCGGGCAUAAGCAAUGUACCGAAGCCGUGGGAUCGUAAGAUCGGUAGGGGAGCAUUCCUAUUGGGUAGAAGGUUAUAAGACGAUUAUGACUGGACCGGUAGGAAAAGCAAAUGUAGGUAUAAGUAACGAUAAAGAGGGUUAGAAUCCCUCUCGCCGAAAGACCAAGGUUUCCUGAUCUACGCUCGACGUAUCAGGGUUAGUCGGGACCUAAGCUGAAGCCUAAAGGCGCAGGCGAUGGAAGAAUGGGUUAAUAAUCCCAUACUAAUUACAUGAGUGAAGUGGGGACGGAGAAGUGACAAUGCUGCCGGCUGACGGAAUAGCCGGUUGAACGGGAAAGAUGUAGACGAGGAUAGGCAAAUCCGUUCUCGGAGUCGAACCCGGAAAGUACACAAGGUGCUUGCACUGAGUGAUAAUGCAUGUAAGCAGGCUCCCAAGAAAAUCCGCUAACGUUAAUGAUGUAAUUACCCGUACCGUAAACCGACACAGGUGGUUGGGUUGAGUAUACUAAGGCGCUCGAGAGAUUCGCGGUUAAGGAACUAGGCAAAAUAGUCCUGUAACUUCGGGAGAAAGGACGCCACACUCCGGUGUGGUUGCAGAGAAAAGGCCCAGGCGACUGUUUAGCAAAAACAUAUGGCUGUGCGAAAUAGAAAUAUCAAGUAUACAGCCUGACACCUGCCCGGUGCCGGAAGGUUAAGAGGAGAUGUCAUCGUAAGAGAAGCAUCAAAUUGAAGCCCCGGUAAACGGCGGCCGUAACUAUAACGGUCCUAAGGUAGCGAAAUUCCUUGUCGGGUAAGUUCCGACCUGCACGAAUGGUGUAACGAU